This 776-nucleotide ribosomal RNA is filed under the name Boletus speciosus. RNAcentral's name for it is "eukaryotic LSU rRNA". The stretch from base 262 to 416 matches the Rfam family "5.8S ribosomal RNA". The record is from RNAcentral. Lineage: Eukaryota; Fungi; Basidiomycota; Agaricomycetes; Boletales; Boletaceae.
GGAAGUAAAAGUCGUAACAAGGUUUCCGUAGGUGAACCUGCGGAAGGAUCAUUAUCGAAUUUCGAGGGGGAAGACGAAAUGGUGAAGACUGUCGCUGGCCCUCCCUUCCCUGGGCAUGUGCACGUCUUUCUUUUCGCCGACCUUUCUCUUACUCUCACACCUGUGCACCUAUUGUAGAUCCUCGAAAGAGGAUCUAUGUUUUUUCACAUCACACCUGUCGCAUGUCUAUAGAAUGUAUGGUCAACGAUUUAUAAAUCAUACAACUUUCAGCAACGGAUCUCUUGGCUCUCGCAUCGAUGAAGAACGCAGCGAAUUGCGAUAAGUAAUGUGAAUUGCAGAUUUUCAGUGAAUCAUCGAAUCUUUGAACGCACCUUGCGCUCCUUGGUAUUCCGAGGAGCAUGCCUGUUUGAGUGUCAUCGAAUUUCUCAAUCCAUGAUCUUGACUUGGUCUUGGAUUUGGUCUUGGGAGCUGCUGGCGGCAAAAAGCUGUUGGCUCUCCUGAAAUGCAUUAGCAAAGGACGGCGGGUCUUUGACGUGCACGGCUUUCGACGUGAUAAUGAUCGUCGUGGCUGGAGCGUUAGGACAUGCAUUGAAUCGUCUGUGUUGCUUCUAAUCCUCUAGGCUAGCCUCAAGUCGGUCAGCUCAGCUACUAGUCGGCCAUGUGGCCAACGAACGUCGAGCAUGGGCUGAGCUUUUGGGCUUGUCUUCUAUUUCGAAACUUGACCUCAAAUCAGGUAGCACUACCCGCUGAACUUAAGCAUAUCAAUAAGCGGAGGA